This 59-nucleotide transfer RNA is filed under the name Pyrinomonadaceae bacterium. RNAcentral's name for it is "tRNA-Arg". It matches the Rfam family "tRNA", at positions 9 to 63 of the family's 71-position model. Rfam says of the family: Transfer RNA (tRNA) molecules are approximately 80 nucleotides in length. Their secondary structure includes four short double-helical elements and three loops (D, anti-codon, and T loops). Lineage: Bacteria; Pseudomonadati; Acidobacteriota; Blastocatellia; Blastocatellales; Pyrinomonadaceae. The record is from RNAcentral.
AGCUCAGCUGGAUAGAGUAUCUGACUUCGAAUCAGAGGGUCGUAGGUUCGAAUCCUGCC